RNAcentral lists this unclassified non-coding RNA (221 nucleotides) under uncultured fungus. RNAcentral describes it as "sequence contains ITS1, 5.8S rRNA gene". The stretch from base 173 to 221 matches the Rfam family "5.8S ribosomal RNA", at positions 1 to 49 of the family's 154-position model. Lineage: Eukaryota; Fungi. The record is from RNAcentral.
UUUCCGUAGGUGAACCUGCGGAAGGAUCAUUACAUUCAGUAGCCCAGCUACUUGUUUACACCCUUGUUUUUUUUGCGUACCUAUCGUUUCCUCGGCGGGCUUGCCUGCCACUGGGGACCCUUUAAACUCUUUGUAAAUACAGCAUCUGUCUGAAUAAACAAACAAAAAUCAAAACUUUCAACAAUGGAUCUCUUGGUUCUGGCAUCGAUGAAGAACGCAGC